RNAcentral lists this ribosomal RNA (485 nucleotides) under uncultured bacterium. RNAcentral's name for it is "partial 16S ribosomal RNA". It matches the Rfam family "Bacterial small subunit ribosomal RNA", at positions 30 to 506 of the family's 1533-position model. The record is from RNAcentral.
AUUGAACGCUGGCGGCAUGCCUUACACAUGCAAGUCGAACGGCAGCACGGGUGCUUGCACCUGGUGGCGAGUGGCGAACGGGUGAGUAAUACAUCGGAACAUGUCCUGUAGUGGGGGAUAGCCCGGCGAAAGCCGGAUUAAUACCGCAUACGAUCUACGGAUGAAAGCGGGGGACCUUCGGGCCUCGCGCUAUAGGGUUGGCCGAUGGCUGAUUAGCUAGUUGGUGGGGUAAAGGCCUACCAAGGCGACGAUCAGUAGCUGGUCUGAGAGGACGACCAGCCACACUGGGACUGAGACACGGCCCAGACUCCUACGGGAGGCAGCAGUGGGGAAUUUUGGACAAUGGGCGAAAGCCUGAUCCAGCAAUGCCGCGUGUGUGAAGAAGGCCUUCGGGUUGUAAGGCACUUUUGUCCGGAAAGAAAUCCUUGGCCCUAAUACGGUCGGGGGAUGACGGUACCGGAAGAAUAAGCACCGGCUAACUACGU